This 4432-nucleotide long non-coding RNA is filed under the name Homo sapiens (human). Its description in RNAcentral is "non-protein coding lnc-GPC2-2:5". Lineage: Eukaryota; Metazoa; Chordata; Mammalia; Primates; Hominidae. The record is from RNAcentral.
CCAAAAGUUGGGAGUCUUAUGACUCUUAAGGCCCUGUUCCGGUUGCUAUGGCUACAUAACAAACCCCUCCAGACUGAGUGCUUUACAUCUUACUAUGCUCAUGGGCUCCACGAUCAGGAAUUUGGAAAGUGCACAGAAAAGAUGGGCUGUCUCUGCUCCCUGAUCCCUGGACCUCAGCUGGGAAAACUGAAAAACAGGGAAGGUUGGAAUCAUCUGACUCCCAUCUGGACUGAAUCUGGCAGCCAACAUGGAUGUUGGCUGGGACCUCGGUGAGGACUGCUGGCAGGAACACCUACACGUGGCCUUUUCCUUUGGCUGCUGGCCUUGCUCACAGAAUGGUGACCGGGUUCCAAGUGUGAACCCAGGUACAGGAAGAGACAGGAAACGGAAACUGCCAGUUUCCUUAAAAUCUGGGCCCACUAACUAGCAUGGCAUCAUUUCUAUCAUCUUCUAUUAGUCAAGCAUCACAAAGCCCAUAUUCAAGAGGAGACAACCUAGACCCAGCCUCUCAAUAAACAGUGUCAAAGGCUUUAGAGAGCAUGGUGUCAAGCUCCCAGAUUCUAAGGCUGUGACUCAACCCAGUGCACUGGGCUGCCUGGCUGUACACAGGUGUCCAUAUUGAUGCAAAGCCCCCAAGCUGCUCUUAUCCUCUUGUGAAGCACCCUUAGCUUGGUUAGUAUUUAAAUAAUUCAGGAAUCUUUCCCCUCCUGGAUUUUGAGAGACCUCCACAUCUUCUCCUCAGUUCUCCCACUCUGUUCCCUCAUCCCACAAAACAGGCUCCUUUCCCCAGAACUAUUCUACCUGAAUACAGGCGAAAGAUCGCUCAAUGAGUUAGCCUUCCCCCACACCCCAGCUCUGACUCCCCGAGGGCUACCUUUCCAAAAGGAGACUCAACCCAAUUUCUUAUAGCUUUCAUCUGGGAGGGGCAGGUGGGGGCGGGGAGGGAGAAUGAAAGGGGCGAGGUGGUCUUGGAUGAGUGACCUGAUUGCAGGGAGUCACGGCUUUUUCUGCACACAUCACUAGCUGGAUGGCUGUGUCUGACCUAGGAGACCACAGUGAGAACCUGUCACUAAAGCAGGUGCCCAUGAUGGGAAGAACUGGAAAUUUUAUCUAAAGAGAGAGGCUGAAGCAUUCCUUAAACCACAGAAGAAAACAGUGAAAGUACAAAAUGACAACAGCCGUCUUCAAAUACUGCUUGUCAGAGGGACAAGAGAGAACAGAGGUGCUGUGCUGCUCCACAAGGCAAAACAAGAGCAAACAAGUCUGUCUGAGUUUCAAGAGGCUGGCCCUGAGGCUGCACUGUGGCAGUCUAGGUGAGGAUACAACUAGAAGCCAGCAGUCUACAGGCUGGAAGAAGGCCCUCACCAGAACCCAACCCUUGGACUUCAGCCUCCAGAACUAUUCAUUCAGCUUUUCCAGACCAGGCAUCACCGAGCGGAGAGAGGGGAAACACCCUGGCUUCUCUUUGGCACAUCAGCCCCUAGUUCUUGAGAGAGAAGGGCAGGGUGGUCUACUCACCAUGUCUGUAUCCUGCCGUUCUUCAUUUGACUCAUCCUGGAUUUCUAACUCUUCUUCCUCGUCCUCUUCCAUAAGGCUGAGUCUGAUGUAGGGGCAAAGAGACUGGCUUUUCAAACUGUUCUUUGAGGACCCCUGAGAGUUUCUCAGACACCCGGGGUGGGGGAAGUGGGGAGCAGUAAGUACAGCAUAGUAGUUUCCCGAUUGUGCUGACAGGAAGUGCUCUGUGGCUAAAACAAGUCCAAAAAGCACCCACAGAGAGGCAAUGGGUGAGACAGGAAUCCCCUCACAGUGGGCGACAGAUCUGAAGUGAAGACAGGAGAUGAUGAGAAAAGCUCACCGCAUCAGCUGGUUGCCCAGGCCAGGACCUGAAGGGUUGUGUGGAGUCUGGAAAUAUUGUGGACCCAAGAACCUUGACCUCUCGGUGCCUGCGACGGGCUGACUGCUGGGAAUGAAGCAGGAUCAAUGAUGGGAUAAAAAUCAAGGGUAAGAAGAGGAUGUAAGGCAGCUGGUGUUAAUGGGGAGAAAAGCUCAGAGAGAUGCAUUUUAAAGCUAAACAAUGGAGAAGGGUUUGAGAAGAACCCAACAAUGUGGGAGUGCUACAGCAGGGAACCAUGAAACAGAAACAGCAAGAUGGAGGCAGCCAGACACCAAACUGGGAACUCAGACACCCAGAUUCCCUCCAUGGCCUCACCCCUGGGCAAAAUCCAACUCUGAGCCAUCUUCUUCCUCCAUCUCUUUCAACCCCCACAGGGGCUGCCUGCUCUUCACAGCUGUGGAGGUGAGGGUGGGCGUGGGCGGGAUGCUGUUCAGCUGCAGACUUUCUUCCUGGGACGAGGAGACGUCCUCUCUGUUAGGCUUGGCAGGCCCUGCCAAGCAGAUGCAUACAUUAACCACAGCCCAGGGCCUGCGACAGGUGUGCUCUCUUUCCAAGACCUGCCCAGGAUUUAGUAAGGGAAAGUCAAUCAGGAAGAGAAUGGAAAACUUAUACAGCUUCAUUCUGUUGCCCUCAAAUGGGCAUAGCCCUAUGUACUAAAUACAUAGCCCUAUGUACCAAAAAGUAAGGCUUAGAGAAUUGUAGCUAGGCCUUGUCCAAGAAGAACUUGCUACACAGCCUAGAAAACAAGAUGGAAAGAUAUAUAAAUAUACAUUUCACAGAUAAACUGUAACAGGUGAACAGGUGAACACAAACAUGAGGGAGGGUUGGAGUCUCUAAGAUUGAGAGGUCUGAGUUAGCCAAUGAAGACAUCUGAGAUCCUAUCCAAGAUUUCUGUGGUCAGAAAAAGCUGUAAAUGGCAAUAGAGUUUUGGUACCAGAGGCUAGAGUGGACAAAUGAGGGCCAGGGAGGAACCGGAAAAUGGGAGACAGGAUUUUCUAAAAGCUAGAAAAAAAUGAAGUGAUUGCAAUGCCAGUAUAACUGAUAUGAUAUGAAGGGGGACUUAUCUCCUGCAGAGAUUGGAGAAGGUAGAGGAGGAGAAAGAAUCCAAAGAUUCUCACUGCCUGAGAAAACCCAGGCAAUACUAUUUUAAAGCAUCAGUCAAAUUGACAUUAACAUCUGUUAACUGUAAACAGUCACACUCCCAUUACCCCCCUUCUCCACUAAAAACAAUAAUCCCAAAGUGAGCGCUCAGCCUAUGGGUUUAAGCAGAGGGCUACAGAAAACAGGGAAGAGACAUACCCCUGGGCUUGGAUUCCCAGAGAGGAAACCUUGGGGCCCCAGAUGUGUCCUCCUGAUCUCCCUGAGCUAUUAAUGGUGUGAUGCCCGAGGGCUGGGCCCUUGAGUCUCUCCUCUUCUCCAUCUUCACUGGCUUCCCCAGCCACUCACGUUCAUGUCCUUAAAUAUCACCUAUACUCUGCCACAUCCCAAAGGGAUCUCAAGCCUUCAGCUCUCCCCUGAACUCCAUCUUAACAGCCCCCAUGGUUUGUUCAACAUCUCCACCUGUAAUCCUGUGGCCAACACCAAUGCCCCAACCUUCCCCCACAGCUAUCUUCACUCUCUGCCUUCCCCAUCUCAGAUACUGUCAACUCCAUCCUUCUGUCAGGCCAAAAUCCUUGGAGCCAUCCUCAACUGCUCUUUUUGUCUUACAUCCCACAUCCAGUUUGUCAGAAAAGCCUAUUAGAGAUACCUUGAAAAUGCACCCAGAAUCUGGCCGUUUCUCGGCACCUCCACCAUUGCCCCCGGCCUAAGAAGCUCUCUUAUCUUGCAUCUUGGGCUGGACUCCUACAACAGCCACAACCUCCCUGCUGGUCUCCCAGCUUCUAGCCUUCCCCCAUCUCCUGUCGUUUUCGACACAGCAGCCAGAAGGAUCCUUUAAAAACAGAGGUUGAUCCUGUCGUUCCUCAAAAUCCUCCAAUGGUUUUCCUACUGCACUCAGAGUAAAAGCCAGUCUCUGCCUUAGAUGCUCUGGGAUCCUGUACCCUCUUUGGUCUCAUGUCCUACAAUCUGCAUUCUGGCCAUAAUGGUCUUCUCUGCUGUUCCUUGAACAUUCCAGGAACAUUCCCCCCAUCCCCUCGUGGCCUCAGGACUGGCUGCUUCCUUUGGUAUGCUAUUCUGAUACACACUAAGCACCCUCCCUCACCUGUUAUAAAAAAUUCGCUGGGAGGCCAAUAGGCUGAAAUGGCUCCUGCACUUUGGGUUCCUAAGUCAGCAAACUGAAACUCAACUCAGAGUGAAAGUGUUGUGUGUAACCUAGGAGCAGGAAACUUCAGCUUAACCAGUCAGAAACUACCGACUAACCUCUAACAAGAGAUUUAUGGUCAGUUAACCUCUAAAUAUGAACUUUCCACUCUAACCAAUCAAAUAGUUUCUUUGUCUUGCUCCCAGAGACACCUUGUAAGUGUCCCCUCUGGUUUCCUCGGUGGUGGCGCCCUGAACUGCUGGCGGUCUGCCACUGCCUGAUUGAUAAAAUUGCUGAAU